Long non-coding RNA from Hemicordylus capensis (graceful crag lizard), 529 nucleotides. RefSeq lists it as uncharacterized. Lineage: Eukaryota; Metazoa; Chordata; Lepidosauria; Squamata; Cordylidae. The transcript has 3 exons. The record is from RefSeq and is a predicted model, not a curated record.
GAGCCGCUCAGUUGCAGCGAAGUACUCCGUGCCUUGGCUUGCAGCCCUCCUAGUGAUGAUUGCAAGCCGGCGCUUCUCCUAAAAUAUUUCCUGCUCCUCCAUCCACCAGACAGAGUAGAAGUUUACAGUAGACAGUACAGUCAUAGUAUAACAUUAUGGCCCUAUAGCUUGCAUUAGUUAUUUUUAAAGGCCUCGGUGUUUAAAGAAGCCUCAUCCACGCGCUCCUCUACCCCCAGAACAAGCUGCAGAAGUCAGCAGAGCCGGGCAGGUUGGCAGGGAGGAAACAUCACAAGCCCCCUGUGGCAGGGAGUUCAAAAGCUCGGGGCCACAACUGAGAAGGACCAGUCCUGCAUAGAGCCUCGGUCAAUGACAGCAUGUGAAGCACAGCUCAUCCAAAAGAAUACAAAAGACAGGCCUUCUUGCACUAAGGAUACUACCACUAGUUAGCUGUGAGGUGAUGCAUAAGGAACCAGAUAAGAAGCAACAACAAGCAUGCAACCAACCAAGCAGGUGGGAAGCAGUAGCAGCA